UACGGGAGGCAGCAGUGGGGAAUAUUGCACAAUGGGCGCAAGCCUGAUGCAGCCAUGCCGCGUGUAUGAAGAAGGCCUUCGGGUUGUAAAGUACUUUCAGUCGUGAGGAAGGUGUUAAGGUUAAUAACCUUAGCAAUUGACGUUAGCGACAGAAGAAGCACCGGCUAACUCCGUGCCAGCAGCCGCGGUAAUACGGAGGGUGCGAGCGUUAAUCGGAAUUAUUGGGCGUAAAGGGCACGCAGGCGGUUAAUUAAGUUGGAUGUGAAAUCCCCGGGCUUAACCUGGGAAUGGCAUUCAAGACUGGUUAGCUAGAGUCUUGUAGAGGGGGUAGAAUUCCAUGUGUAGCGGUGAAAUGCGUAGAGAUGUGGAGGAAUACCGGUGGCGAAGGCGGCCCCUGGACAAAGACUGACGCUCAUGUGCGAAAGCGUGGGGAGCAAACAGGGAUUAGAUACC
RNAcentral lists this ribosomal RNA (453 nucleotides) under uncultured bacterium. RNAcentral's name for it is "bacterial SSU rRNA". It matches the Rfam family "Bacterial small subunit ribosomal RNA", at positions 340 to 786 of the family's 1533-position model. The record is from RNAcentral.